Molecule: ribosomal RNA, 277 nt
Filed under: uncultured Glomus
Lineage: Eukaryota; Fungi; Glomeromycota; Glomeromycetes; Glomerales; Glomeraceae
Description: partial 18S ribosomal RNA
Rfam family: Eukaryotic small subunit ribosomal RNA
Source: RNAcentral
AAGCUCGUAGUUGAAUUUCGGGGUUAGUAGGUUGGUCAUGCCUCUGGUAUGUACUGGUCUCACUGAUUCCUCCUUCCUUAUGAACCGUAAUGCCAUUAAUUUGGUGUUGCGGGGAAUUUGGACUGUUACUUUGAAAAAAUUAGAGUGUUUAAAGCAAGCUAACGCUUGAAUACAUUAGCAUGGAAUAAUGAAAUAGGACGUUCGAUCUUAUUUUGUUGGUUUCUUAGGAUUGACGUAAUGAUUAAUAGGGAUAGUUGGGUGAGCGGGCUGGCAAGGC